RNAcentral lists this ribosomal RNA (484 nucleotides) under uncultured bacterium. RNAcentral's name for it is "bacterial SSU rRNA". It matches the Rfam family "Bacterial small subunit ribosomal RNA", at positions 36 to 518 of the family's 1533-position model. The record is from RNAcentral.
CUGGCGGCGUGCUUAACACAUGCAAGUCGAACGAAGCGCUUGAACAGGAUCUCUUCGGAGUGACGUUCUUGUGACUUAGUGGCGGACGGGUGAGUAACGCGUGGGUAACCUGCCCUUAUCUGGGGGAUAACAGUUAGAAAUGACUGCUAAUACCGCAUAAGCGCACACUGAGGCAUCUCAGAGUGUGAAAAGAUUUAUCGGAUAAGGAUGGACCCGCGUUAGAUUAGCCGGUUGCGGGGUAACGGCCCACCAAAGCUACGAUCUAUAGCCGGCCUGAGAGGGCGACCGGCCACAUUGGGACUGAGACACGGCCCAAACUCCUACGGGAGGCAGCAGUGAGGAAUAUUGCACAAUGGGGGAAACCCUGAUGCAAGCGACGCCGCGUGAGUGAUGAAGUAUUUCGGUAUGUAAAACUCUAUCAGCAGGGAAGAAGAAGGACGGUACCUGACUAAGAAGCCCCGGCUAACUACGUGCCAGCAGCCGC